UUGCUUGCUUCUGUAGCACUUACACUGCAAUUGAACAAUACAGAGAGGAUUCGCAUAGCCCUGCACAAAGAGGACAUGCAAAUUUGUGAAACUCAUAUUUUUUAA
Molecule: small nuclear RNA, 105 nt
Filed under: Microtus ochrogaster (prairie vole)
Lineage: Eukaryota; Metazoa; Chordata; Mammalia; Rodentia; Cricetidae
Source: RNAcentral